UAAUUUUCCAUAUAUCAGCAAGCAGAUAUUUUGCUAGUGAUGCAAUUGUAUAAUAAAAUUCAGAAAUAUAAGUUGCUUUUUAUUUCUAUUUAUUUUCUCUCUGUUCGACCUAUAAAAAUAUUGUUUUGGAUACAGUAAGAAGAAAACCAGGUAGAAUAUAACCAUUUGUUGUGCAACUGUGAGCACUUUUUAUUUACUUUAAUGUAACAUAGAUAUCACAAAGCAAGACACAUGGAAGACAAAAAUAGCAGAAAGCUAUAUUCUAAGAACAAUGGCUCAUAUUAGUCUUUUUCACAGACUCAAAUAUGGACAAUAGCUGUGUAUCCCACAAGGUGAUGCCUUUCAUUUACUCCAUGAAAGCAGAAAUAUUUGCAAGAAAUGAGAAGUGAAAGCAACAGAUUCAAGAACCUGCGAGAACUUCACGUAGACUAAAUACAAAAAAAGGAAGGAAGAAUGGAAGAGGGAAGGAAAGAAGGAAAGAAAGAAGGAAAGAAGGAAGGAAGGAGAA
RNAcentral lists this long non-coding RNA (508 nucleotides) under Homo sapiens (human). Its description in RNAcentral is "HSALNT0019039". The record is from RNAcentral. Lineage: Eukaryota; Metazoa; Chordata; Mammalia; Primates; Hominidae.